UACGGAGGAUCCGAGCGUUAUCCGGAUUUAUUGGGUUUAAAGGGUGCGCAGGCGGGAGAUUAAGUCGGCGGUGAAAUUUUGCAGCUCAACUGUAAAAGUGCCUUCGAAACUGGUUUCCUUGAGUGUGGAUGAAGUAGGCGGAAUUUGUGGUGUAGCGGUGAAAUGCAUAGAUAUCACGAGGAACUCCGAUUGCGCAGGCAGCUUACUAAACCAUAACUGACGCUCAGGCACGAAGGCGUGGGGAGUCAAACAGGAUUAGAUACCCCGGUACGGU
RNAcentral lists this ribosomal RNA (274 nucleotides) under uncultured prokaryote. Its description in RNAcentral is "partial 16S ribosomal RNA". It matches the Rfam family "Bacterial small subunit ribosomal RNA", at positions 524 to 794 of the family's 1533-position model. The record is from RNAcentral.